UUGGAUGACUAGGUUGGGUAGUGUGUUAUAUUCUAAGAGAGAGAGAGAGAGAGAGAGAGAGAGAGAGAGAGAGAGAGAAUGUCCCUUUAAUACGAGAUAACAAAGAUCAAAGAUUAGGGGACAGUGUAGCUUGUCCAAGAAGAUGAAGCUGAGCUUUGAGUUCAGUCUGCUGGGAUCUAGGGCCCCUUUCUUUUCACUACACUAAGGCAGCUGAAAUGAGUAGAGGGGAGAAAAAAGAAGAUUUGAACUGAUCUAAAAUCAGGUCUGUCACCUGCCAAAUGAAGGGUCUGGGCCAGAGAAAAGGAUGUCAGUUCGUGGGGUUGGACAGCUUCAGAGAGAACUUGUUCUACUGAAGGAGAUCUGCCUCAGAUCCGUGUCACUUCUUAGAGGUGCACUCACCGAGUAAUUCAAGCUCCCUGGGUAAAGUUCAAGCCAGGCUGGUUGAGAGUUCAAGACCAGCCUAGGGGUUUGCUGUCCUAAGUAACAGUCAGUUCCAACCCCCAACUGCUGCCCGAUAUGUAGCUUCAGCCUGGCGGAUGAUGUCCUCACAGAGCCCAGUAACUGUCAGAGCACGCAGCUGGGGGAGUGCUGAUCUCAGUGACUCCAGAGUCUCCUUCCCUCUGCUAACCCGACCUGUGUGCUGUGGCUCCCAUCUGUCUUCCCUUUGCUGUUUAGUGGGCCUCUCAGUUCUCUAUCCUCUACAUCCAGGGCCUUCUCAUCUUUCACCUUGAACAGGUACCAUGACCUCUUAAGAGGAUUUCUUGACCCUCUUAAGAGGAUUUCUGUCCAGGUGACUCUCGGUUCUAAUCCAUUCCUAAUCUUCUCACAGAGAAAGUGGGUUGUGACGACUUCCUGCUUAGCCCUUCUGCUAAUCUCCCUACAAACUAAAAUCACCGGUGGCUCCUUGUCCUCCUGCACGGACUUUUCCUGCGCUGGUUAAAUGAGUGCUGUGUCCUUUCACAUCUUAAUGAAAGCUCUCAGCUCUUUGCCAGUGUAGUGGUUUGAAUGAGAAUGGCCCCUACGGGCUCUUAUGAUUGAAUGGCUAGGUCCCUAGUUGGUGGAACUG
RNAcentral lists this long non-coding RNA (1066 nucleotides) under Mus pahari (shrew mouse). RNAcentral's name for it is "lncRNA (MGP_PahariEiJ_G0005854.1)". The record is from RNAcentral. Lineage: Eukaryota; Metazoa; Chordata; Mammalia; Rodentia; Muridae.